AUGCAAGAAGGAAGAUGUUUCAUCAUGUUGACCACUAUAGAUUUGAAGUCCAGUUCUGGAGCACUUGAACAUGCGAGGAUCUUUGGAUCUUGGAGACAUAUACAGGUGCUUUCGUUAUAUGCACACUUCCUUUCAUGGUCCAAUCUUGGAUAUUACUUGAGUAUCUUAGUGUCAUGUGGAAGAAUGUCCAACUUAGGGGCAGCCAUGUGGAAGGAUGUCCAACUUAGGCGCAGUCAGGGGUUGGUUCCAACCAGCUUGAACAGUUCGAUAUGCACAGUGAAGGUUUUGGCUCUCCAGUUUGCUUGCACUGAUUUGAAUGCAGUUCUUGACGUCCUCAGGUUUUUCCCCUGCUUGGAAAUACUUUAUGUUAUGUGGAACAAAUACUUGAAAGCAGAGAUGAACAAUGUGCGUCAUUGUGAUCCAAUAACUCCAAUCAAAUGCCUUGAGACCCAUCUAAAAAAACUAGUGUUGAAGAAUUACACAGGCGACGAGCAAGAUGUUAGCUUUGCCAAGUUCUUUGUUCUGAAUGCGAAAGUGCUACAUGAGAUCAAAUUUGGCGUUAGUGAGAAGUUCGACAAGAAAUGGGUGGCUGAUCACCACAGGUUGCUAGGAGUGGAAAGUGAAGCUUCUCCAGAGUUCGAGUUUAAACAUUGUUCGUACUGUUUGGAUCUCUAUUUAGAUCCCCAUGACUUGUCAAUUGCCGAUCCCUUCAACAACUCUUUUCUAGCUGAAGACCAUACUCUUCCAGUGAUAUCAAUAUCAUGUCCUUCCAGUUCUGACGAGGAUAGUAACUGA
This 795-nucleotide ribosomal RNA is filed under the name Triticum aestivum (bread wheat). RNAcentral describes it as "partial small subunit ribosomal RNA". The record is from RNAcentral. Lineage: Eukaryota; Viridiplantae; Streptophyta; Magnoliopsida; Poales; Poaceae.